ACCAGGAUAGCUUAGCCCCUAAAGCUUUGAUUUUGUAAUUCAAGGACGGCAUUGUCGCCUCCUGGUA
This 67-nucleotide transfer RNA is filed under the name Ovatella vulcani. RNAcentral's name for it is "tRNA-Thr". It matches the Rfam family "tRNA". Rfam says of the family: Transfer RNA (tRNA) molecules are approximately 80 nucleotides in length. Lineage: Eukaryota; Metazoa; Mollusca; Gastropoda; Ellobiida; Ellobiidae. The record is from RNAcentral.